Molecule: ribosomal RNA, 490 nt
Filed under: uncultured bacterium
Lineage: Bacteria
Description: SSU rRNA
Rfam family: Bacterial small subunit ribosomal RNA
Source: RNAcentral
AGGAUGAACGCUAGCGGCAGGCUUAAUACAUGCAAGUCGAGGGGUAGCAGGUAGCAAUACGCUGACGACCGGCAAACGGGUGCGGAACACGUACACAACCUUCCUUUUAGUGGGGAAUAGCCCAGAGAAAUUUGGAUUAAUACCCCGUAAGAUAUUAGAUCGGCAUCGAUUAGAUAUUAUAGGUUUACCGCUAAGAGAUGGGUGUGCGGCUGAUUAGGUAGUUGGCGGAGUAACAGCCCACCAAGCCAACGAUCAGUAGCUGAUGUGAGAGCAUGAUCAGCCACACGGGCACUGAGACACGGGCCCGACUCCUACGGGAGGCAGCAGUAAGGAAUAUUGGACAAUGGACGCAAGUCUGAUCCAGCCAUGCCGCGUGAAGGAUUAAGGCCCUCUGGGUUGUAAACUUCUUUUAUAGGGACGAAAAAGGGCUUUCUAGCUCGACUGACGGUACCCUAUGAAUAAGCACCGGCUAACUCCGUGCCAGCAGCCG